UCUUCUGCCUCCCGCCUACGCUGGUGUAUUUCCACGAGGUCCUGCAUGGCCUGUGUGCCUCCUGCCUCCUGUCUCUAGGACCUGUGAGUGUUAGAAACUCCUCUGGGGCGCCUGGCUGGCUCAGUCGGGAGAGCGUGCGACUCUUGAUCUUGGGGUUGUGAGUUCGAGCCCCACACGGUGUAGAGAUUACUUUAAAAAUAAUAAUAAUAAAUAACAAGUCUCCUCUGUGUUCUCACCAGACUGACCAUCUUGUGAAAGAACACAAAACAGGUCUUUAAGGACAGAAUGCCCCCCACACUGUUUCUCACUUCCACUUUGGUUUUGCUUUCUGGAGAUUUCUGCCAGUCUCGGUAGGCUGGGUCACACUGCACUAACAAACAGCCCCAUAUCCUAGUGGCUCCUAACACUAAGUAUUUCUCAUGCACACGGCAUGUCCACAUAGGGCUGGAGGGCUCUCACCCGCUUCCCAUUCCGGGGCCCAGGGCAAUGGAGCAGCCACCGUCUCCAAAGCUGUCAGUAGUCACGGGGUCUCCACCUGGCAAUAAUGUCCCACCCUGAGGUGACAGAUGUCACUUUUCACGCUUCCUUGGCCAUGGCUAGUCACAUGACCCCACCUAAUCUCAGGGGACACAUGCAUGAAGGGCAGAGCAUGGGAAGGAGUAUGGAGAAUGACAUUAACAAGGACCUCAGGCCUCCGUCUGGGGUGACUGCCAGGCAGCUGUGACCACCAGAGCUCGGGCAGGGGGAGCAGCUGUGCCCUGGGGUGCGGCACACAGCCCAGCCGAACCUACCUAGGGCGAGAGGGAGCUGGAGAGAAGGAAAGACACAACGUUCCAGAGCCCGGGGCUGUGGUGCCUGACAGUCCUACCUUCCAGUUCCAGCCACUUCUGCAAAAAAUCGGAACAGCAUUUCCCAAAAGGUGGAAUUUUAGUGAAGAUCACAUGGGGAAAUAUGCCUUUAUACUCCCAGCGGCUGUCCCUGGAAGGUGAUACUUUUUUGGUGGAAGAACUUUUUGCCCUACUAAGCCCUUUGAUGAAUUAGGGUAAAUGUGAGAACAGAAGCUCGGCUGAGAGUGGCUUUGGGGGCGUUAUGGGGGGCAGUUACAAAAGCACAAUCUAUUCCCAAGAUUUCUUUGGGAGUGACUUUAUUUGGGACGGCUUUGAAAGGGUUGAUGGCGACUAUGGGGGUAUCCAAGCAACCCCCGCUGCCCCUAUAGAAACUGGGAACAGAUCAACCGUUCAGCGUUAACAGAGAGGGUUUGGGGGUUUCUGUGGCAGUCCACAAGACCAGGGGGCAGAUAGAAAAGGGAGCAGGGGGAAGGAAGGCAGCAAGAGGGUACUCUAGGAACAGGUUUUGAAAGCCCCAAUUCCUUCUCAUUCCUUAAAUCCCGAGUAAACUUCCUCUGUUGACGGGUGGCUCACUCCUGCACCAUCAGCACUGAAAGCUAACCUGUGGCCACAGAAGCCCCUCUGCCUCCUGGGGCCGGGGGGUGGGGAGAACCCAUAUCAAAAGCCAGACGUGGUCCUGCCCAGUGCAGAGGGACAAUCCUGAGGCUGGGGUUCCCCUUUGGAAGACUCAAAUCGCCUUCUGAGCAGAGAAACGGGGCAGAGGGCAGCAGAAAGAGGCAUCUCAAGAUCAGGUGUUAUCUGCUGAAUCUGUGUGGGCACAACAAUUUUGCAGAAAAGAUAAACUGAGCCCAGGGGAUCAAACUACUUUCCCGUGGUGCCCCAGGCAGCCAGAGGGGCAGCCAGGGUGAGGGGCCACACCUGUCCUCCCGUGCCAUUAGAGGAGGGAGGCUGGGACUCAGAGAGGGAAGGCCUUGCUCAAGGUCACACAGCAAUUCAGCAGCAGAGCCAGGAUGCAAGGACUCCAGAUCCUGGUCUCUGCCAGCUGCCAGCCUGGGAAAGCUGCCCAGCCCUUUCACCCACUUUUUGCCUUGUGCCCGGGAGAGGUUGAGCCGGGUUAGCAGAGGCAGGAUAUUCUGAGAAAUUCACUCAGGCCCAGACACCAGGAGCUGCAUCGGUCCCCCUUGCACCCCGGCGGGCGGGCGAGCAGCAUUCUCAAAGUCCGCGCGAGCAAGACAGUAUCUGAGGACAGACGUGCUCAAGGUGGGGAGCCAGGCCAGGUGCCCGCCCGGUGCACCCGCGAUCUCACUUAACCCGCGGGCGACCCUGGAGGGUGGGCUUCUCCGCUGUUUUCCGGGUGGCCAGAGACGCUGGGCCGAGUAGGACUGAGGCCCCAGGACUCGCAGUCCAGUGCUCUGUCCCCGGGCGCUGGCGGCGGGAGGGGCUUGGCGGAGCGCCCAGAACGGCGCGGCGCGGGGAGGGCGCCCGGGCCGGAUGCUCCCCUGCCCCGGCCCCGAGCUGCCCCCGGCGGCGGCGGAUCCGCAGAGCAGGAAGGCGCAACAAUAGGGGGCCGACAGCGGCGGGGAGCCCCGGUUCCGGAGCCAGGGUGCGGCCCGCCCCGCCACCGGCACUCUGAGAACGGGGUCCCUGCUCAGGGGACGAACGAGAUUAUCGGAUGCCACCGUCUGAGCCCUUACGGUCUUCCGGGACCUGCCUCCACCGUACCUGGUUUAUCUCAUGGGAUCCUCCUCUUACCCCUAUGAUUUAGCCCCAGUUUACAGAUGAAGCAACGCAGGCACAGAGUUUUAAGUAAAAUGCCCAAGCUUUCUGUGUCAUAAAUACAUCCCUCAGCGAUCCUAGUUCAAAGUCCUGACGUGCUAGGGAAGAUCUCGUCCUGUACCCCGCCCCACCCCAUCUUCCCCACCCACUAAGGGACUUGGAUUCCCACCACUGGCACCCUGUCAUCGAGUUAAGGUAGGCUUCCUCUAAUCUAAAUUGAUGGUGACCGUGGUGGCACCAAGGGGUGGACGGAUGGGUGCUUAACCCCCUCCUCAUGUCCAUCAGAAAAGCC
Long non-coding RNA from Herpailurus yagouaroundi (jaguarundi), 2916 nucleotides. RefSeq lists it as uncharacterized. The record is from RefSeq and is a predicted model, not a curated record. Lineage: Eukaryota; Metazoa; Chordata; Mammalia; Carnivora; Felidae. The transcript has 3 exons.